RNAcentral lists this ribosomal RNA (329 nucleotides) under uncultured eukaryote. Its description in RNAcentral is "partial 18S ribosomal RNA". It matches the Rfam family "Eukaryotic small subunit ribosomal RNA", at positions 1470 to 1796 of the family's 1831-position model. The record is from RNAcentral.
CCCUUAGAUGUUCUGGGCCGCACGCGCGCUACACUGAUGCAUUCAACGAGUCUAAAACCUGGUCUGAUAGGGCUGGGUAAUCUUUUGAAAGUGCAUCGUGAUUGGGAUAGAUGAUUGCAAUUCUUCAUCUUCAACGAGGAAUGCCUAGUAAACGCAAGUCAUCAGCUUGCAUUGAUUACGUCCCUGCCCUUUGUACACACCGCCCGUCGCUCCUACCGAUUGAAUGGUCCGGUGAAGCGUUCGGACCGUGGCCUUUGGACGGUUCGCCGUCUGUUGGCUGCGGGAAGUUCGUUAAACCUUAUCAUUUAGAGGAAGGUGAAGUCGUAACA